This 334-nucleotide unclassified non-coding RNA is filed under the name rhizosphere metagenome. RNAcentral describes it as "partial ribosomal RNA internal transcribed spacer region". The record is from RNAcentral.
GUAGGUGAACCUGCGGAAGGAUCAUUAAAAAUAUCCCACACAGCCAGAUGGGCUCUAAACUACGUAAUGCCGGAAAACCGAUAUGUCUCACGAGAGCUCACCGGGCUUGUAGAGAUCAGUUCCGAUAGGUCGCACAGUGGCUCACUGGGCCUGUGGACUGUGGAGAUCGGUUCCGGUACUCGUUACUUCAAACCAGUGUGAACCUCCCGUUGCUUCGGCGGCAUGCUUCGUGCUGUCAGCCCGUCCGAGGCCCACCGAAACCACUUCUGUAAACUUCUGUCAGUAUACGAAAAGUAAAUCGUUAAAACUUUCAACAACGGAUCUCUUGGUUCUC